Molecule: ribosomal RNA, 494 nt
Filed under: uncultured bacterium
Lineage: Bacteria
Description: partial 16S ribosomal RNA
Rfam family: Bacterial small subunit ribosomal RNA
Source: RNAcentral
GACGAACGCUGGCGGCGUGCUUAACACAUGCAAGUCGAACGGAAAGGCCUGCUUUCCCUUGUGGAUUGCGGGUACUCGAGUGGCGAACGGGUGAGUAACACGUGAGUGAUCUGCCCCCAACUUGGGUAUAAGCCUGGGAAACUGGGUCUAAUUCCCGAUAGGACUGCAGGGUGGUGCCUGUGGUGGAAAACGAUUUUCUAGUGGUUGGGGAUGAGCUCGCGGCCUAUCAGCUUGUUGGUGGGGUAAUGGCCUACCAAGGCGGCGACGGGUAGCCGGCCUGAGAGGGUGGACGGCCACAUUGGAACUGAGAUACGGCCCAGACUCCUGCGGGAGGCAGCAGGGGGGAAUAUUGCACAAUGGGCGGAAGCCUGAUGCAGCGACGCCGCGUGGGGGAUGACGGCCUUCGGGUUGUAAACUCCUUUCGACCGCGAGGAAGCCACCUGGUUGGAAGGGUGGUGACGGUAGUGGUAGAAGAAGCACCGGCUAACUACGUG